Molecule: long non-coding RNA, 566 nt
Organism: Stomoxys calcitrans (stable fly)
Lineage: Eukaryota; Metazoa; Arthropoda; Insecta; Diptera; Muscidae
Exons: 2
Source: RefSeq, a predicted model, not a curated record
AAGAUUUCAUGCUCAAUGGAGGAGAAAUAUUCAAAAUAUGGGCAUGAUUACUUUUUAGCAAAUAGGGAAGACAUUCCUUGGAGCUGUUUUCCAAUGUAGUUGUCAAAGAAAUCGCACUGGCGUUGUUUACCAAAAUAUCUAUGCCUCCAAAUUUGUCGACAGCAGCCUUUACUGCAGCCCUCACUUGGUUCUCGUCACGCACAUCCACAAUACAUGCCAAGGCUUUUCCUCCGGCCUUUUCAACUUAAAUAUUAAUUGUAUUUAUUUAAUUUUUGAUAGCAAUUAUGUCAAUAGGCCAAGUUGCUUACCUUCUUCUGCGGUGGUAAAAAUUGUGCCUGGCAACUUGGGAUGUGGAUCACUUGUCUUGGCCGCAAUGACAACAUUUGCACCAUCACGUGCUGCUUUCAAUGCUAUAGCUUUGCCAAUUCCUCUUGAUGCACCUGUUAUAAAAAGAGUUUUGCCCUUUAAUGACCCGUUGUUUUGCAUAGUUAAUCUAUUUUUUAUGUUGUUCACGUCGAGAGUUAUUAGGCAGAAAUAAAUGGUUUUUGAUAAACAGUCCAAAUUAA